Molecule: ribosomal RNA, 206 nt
Filed under: uncultured bacterium
Lineage: Bacteria
Description: partial 16S ribosomal RNA
Rfam family: Bacterial small subunit ribosomal RNA
Source: RNAcentral
GGACUGCAGCCUGNAACCCGGCUGCACGAAGCCGGAAUCGCUAGUAAUCGCAGAUCAGCAUGCUGCGGUGAAUACGUUCCCGGGUCUUGUACACACCGCCCGUCACACCAUGGGAGUCGGAAAUGCCCGAAGUCAGUGGCCCAACCGCAAGGAGGGAGCUGCCGAAGGUGGGACCGAUAACUGGGGCGAAGUCGUAACAAGGUAGC